UCGCCCCUCCCCCCGGAAAUGCGCCUGCCUGCCGGCGCCCGGCGAGCGUUCGUGCCUUUGUCCUUUGAACCGGGAGUGGUUUCGGCUGUAGAGCAGGAACUUUGGAAUUCAACCUGGCUUCCAAAUGUUUACAUUGUCUUGACCUGGGGCUCGUCUCGCGCGAUAUCUUCUAGGCUUCUCCAUCUUCUCUGUGAAAGGGGGACAGGAAUUCCCACCUCUUUGAGUUGUGUGAGGAUUACUCGUUUGGGAGAAGAGUUUUCUCAGGUCUUCUCCCAGCUGUAAGACUCAUGCGGGGCCAGCGCUGUGGCACAGUGGGUAAAGCCGCCGCCUGCAGUGCCAGCAUUCCAUAUGGGUGCUGGUUCAAGUCCCAGCUGCUCCACUUUCGAACCAGCUCUCUACAAUGGCCUAGGAAAGCAGUGGAAGAUGGCCCAAAUCCUUGGGCCCCUGCACCCACAUGGGAGACCUGGAAGAAGCUCCUGGCUCCUGGCUUCGGAUCAGUGCAGCUCCAGCCAUUGUGGCCAAUUGGGGAGUGAACCAGCAUAUGGAAGACCUCUCUCUCUCUGCCUCUCUUCCUCUCUGUCUCUCUCUGUGAAACUCUGACUUCAAAAUAAAUAAAUAAAUCUUAAAAAAAAAAAAAAAAAA
Oryctolagus cuniculus (rabbit) is the source of this 642-nucleotide long non-coding RNA. RefSeq lists it as uncharacterized. Lineage: Eukaryota; Metazoa; Chordata; Mammalia; Lagomorpha; Leporidae. The record is from RefSeq and is a predicted model, not a curated record.